This 2879-nucleotide ribosomal RNA is filed under the name Klebsiella pneumoniae. RNAcentral describes it as "bacterial LSU rRNA". It matches the Rfam family "Bacterial large subunit ribosomal RNA". Lineage: Bacteria; Pseudomonadati; Pseudomonadota; Gammaproteobacteria; Enterobacterales; Enterobacteriaceae. The record is from RNAcentral.
UUAAGCGACUAAGCGUACACGGUGGAUGCCCUGGCAGUCAGAGGCGAUGAAGGACGUGCUAAUCUGCGAAAAGCGUCGGUAAGGUGAUAUGAACCGUUAUAACCGGCGAUGUCCGAAUGGGGAAACCCAGUGCAAUUCGUUGCACUAUCGUUAACUGAAUACAUAGGUUAACGAGGCGAACCGGGGGAACUGAAACAUCUAAGUACCCCGAGGAAAAGAAAUCAACCGAGAUUCCCCCAGUAGCGGCGAGCGAACGGGGAGCAGCCCAGAGUCUGAAUCAGCUUGUGUGUUAGUGGAACGGUCUGGAAAGUCCGACGGUACAGGGUGAUAGUCCCGUACACCAAAAUGCACAGGUUGUGAACUCGAAGAGUAGGGCGGGACACGUGGUAUCCUGUCUGAAUAUGGGGGGACCAUCCUCCAAGGCUAAAUACUCCUGACUGACCGAUAGUGAACCAGUACCGUGAGGGAAAGGCGAAAAGAACCCCGGCGAGGGAGUGAAAAGAACCUGAAACCGUGUACGUACAAGCAGUGGGAGCACCUUCGGGUGUGACUGCGUACCUUUGUAUAAUGGGUCAGCGACUUAUAUUCUGUAGCAAGGUUAACCGUAUAGGGGAGCCGCAGGGAAACCGAGUCUUAACUGGGCGUUAAGUUGCAGGGUAUAGACCCGAAACCCGGUGAUCUAGCCAUGGGCAGGUUGAAGGUUGGGUAACACUAACUGGAGGACCGAACCGACUAAUGUUGAAAAAUUAGCGGAUGACUUGUGGCUGGGGGUGAAAGGCCAAUCAAACCGGGAGAUAGCUGGUUCUCCCCGAAAGCUAUUUAGGUAGCGCCUCGUGAACUCAUCUUCGGGGGUAGAGCACUGUUUCGGCUAGGGGGUCAUCCCGACUUACCAACCCGAUGCAAACUACGAAUACCGAAGAAUGUUAUCACGGGAGACACACGGCGGGUGCUAACGUCCGUCGUGAAGAGGGAAACAACCCAGACCGCCAGCUAAGGUCCCAAAGUCAUGGUUAAGUGGGAAACGAUGUGGGAAGGCACAGACAGCCAGGAUGUUGGCUUAGAAGCAGCCAUCAUUUAAAGAAAGCGUAAUAGCUCACUGGUCGAGUCGGCCUGCGCGGAAGAUGUAACGGGGCUAAACCAUGCACCGAAGCUGCGGCAGCGACACUAUGUGUUGUUGGGUAGGGGAGCGUUCUGUAAGCCUGCGAAGGUGUGCUGUGAGGCAUGCUGGAGGUAUCAGAAGUGCGAAUGCUGACAUAAGUAACGAUAAAGCGGGUGAAAAGCCCGCUCGCCGGAAGACCAAGGGUUCCUGUCCAACGUUAAUCGGGGCAGGGUGAGUCGACCCCUAAGGCGAGGCCGAAAGGCGUAGUCGAUGGGAAACAGGUUAAUAUUCCUGUACUUGGUGUUACUGCGAAGGGGGGACGGAGAAGGCUAUGUUAGCCGGGCGACGGUUGUCCCGGUUUAAGCAUGUAGGCUGAUUGUCCAGGCAAAUCCGGAUAAUCAAGGCUGAGGUGUGAUGACGAGGCACUACGGUGCUGAAGUAACAAAUGCCCUGCUUCCAGGAAAAGCCUCUAAGCAUCAGGUAACAUUAAAUCGUACCCCAAACCGACACAGGUGGUCAGGUAGAGAAUACCAAGGCGCUUGAGAGAACUCGGGUGAAGGAACUAGGCAAAAUGGUGCCGUAACUUCGGGAGAAGGCACGCUGGUGUGUAGGUGAAGUCCCUGCGGAUGGAGCUGAGACCAGUCGAAGAUACCAGCUGGCUGCAACUGUUUAUUAAAAACACAGCACUGUGCAAACACGAAAGUGGACGUAUACGGUGUGACGCCUGCCCGGUGCCGGAAGGUUAAUUGAUGGGGUUAUCCGUCGAAGCCCCGGUAAACGGCGGCCGUAACUAUAACGGUCCUAAGGUAGCGAAAUUCCUUGUCGGGUAAGUUCCGACCUGCACGAAUGGCGUAAUGAUGGCCAGGCUGUCUCCACCCGAGACUCAGUGAAAUUGAACUCGCUGUGAAGAUGCAGUGUACCCGCGGCAAGACGGAAAGACCCCGUGAACCUUUACUAUAGCUUGACACUGAACAUUGAGCCUUGAUGUGUAGGAUAGGUGGGAGGCUUUGAAGCGUGGACGCCAGUCUGCGUGGAGCCAACCUUGAAAUACCACCCUUUAAUGUUUGAUGUUCUAACGUUGGCCCCUGACCGGGGUUGCGGACAGUGUCUGGUGGGUAGUUUGACUGGGGCGGUCUCCUCCCAAAGCGUAACGGAGGAGCACGAAGGUUAGCUAAUCCUGGUCGGACAUCAGGAGGUUAGUGCAAUGGCAUAAGCUAGCUUGACUGCGAGCGUGACGGCGCGAGCAGGUGCGAAAGCAGGUCAUAGUGAUCCGGUGGUUCUGAAUGGAAGGGCCAUCGCUCAACGGAUAAAAGGUACUCCGGGGAUAACAGGCUGAUACCGCCCAAGAGUUCAUAUCGACGGCGGUGUUUGGCACCUCGAUGUCGGCUCAUCACAUCCUGGGGCUGAAGUAGGUCCCAAGGGUAUGGCUGUUCGCCAUUUAAAGUGGUACGCGAGCUGGGUUUAGAACGUCGUGAGACAGUUCGGUCCCUAUCUGCCGUGGGCGCUGGAGAAUUGAGGGGGGCUGCUCCUAGUACGAGAGGACCGGAGUGGACGCAUCACUGGUGUUCGGGUUGUCAUGCCAAUGGCACUGCCCGGUAGCUAAAUGCGGAAGAGAUAAGUGCUGAAAGCAUCUAAGCACGAAACUUGCCCCGAGAUGAGUUCUCCCUGAGACUUUAAGUCUCCUGAAGGAACGUUGAAGACGACGACGUUGAUAGGCCGGGUGUGUAAGCGCAGCGAUGCGUUGAGCUAACCGGUACUAAUGAACCGUGAGGCUUAACCU